GAUAAAUAGUUUGCACCUGAGCCAGGCUUGCGUUACUUCCGUGACUUCAGUCUUUGCUCUCCUACCCUCUCACUUACUAGCUGAGCGCUCUGGGGGAGGUUAUCUAACCUUCCUGAGCCUCGUAUUCCUCAUACCGAAAACGGAGGUAACCAGAGUAACUACAUCCAAAAAUUGAGAGAACUGAAUGAGAUAAAUAAGGCGAGGUGUUUUUAACACGUCCUGCACAUGAAGACAAUACCAUGAUCAUGAAAUCACUGGAGAAAUCUGCCGGGGAAGGGCUGUGAGGAUAGUCUCAUCUGUAACGCAUGUGUCCUCCAGAAAAAAAGUAUAUGGCUUUCAGACUAAAUUUUACUCCUUAUCCAAAUGGAAAGAAUAUCUAAAGAGACAAAGUGUAAUAAUCCAAGAAUCUUCUAUUGUGAGAAUAAUGGAGAUUGACAUUGUGAAGUAUAUAGAAAAACAUAAAAGGGGCGCCAGGCAUAUCUCUUCUCACACAUGCUUGAGUGACUGCCAGCCAUCUCCCUGUAAGAAGGUCUGCAUAGGGAAAUAAGCACUACUGAACGGAGACCAAUUAUUAGAUGGCACUGUUGCGAUUCCAGCCAAGCAAGAGAGAAGCAGUGCUGUAAGACAGAAGAAAAUAAUCAAGAAAUUCAUUUUGGACCCUCGUGGUUGUGUCUCCAAACUACAAGCAGUGGUUUAGAACAGGCGGAGUAGGAUAAGAGCAAUGAUGGCAAGAACUGAAGGCUGGGGACAGGAGCGUCACCAAGGGAGAAAGGAGUGAAGAGGAAAACAGUGCAAACUCCUGAAGAUCCAGUUGGAAGGAAGAGAAAUCAGAUGAAUUAUAAUCAACCAUUUUCACUGCAUUUCCAAGAAUGAAAAAUUAAGAUAAUAAAUAGACAAAUUUACAACCACAGAAUAUCAUGUUUAAAAGAUUCUGUAGGAAAAAAGAAAUAUGAUUUCAUUAAAACAUUGACUUUAAAAUAGACAUAUUAAGAUAGAAAUAUCAAACCAAAUUAUGAACAUUAAAACAAACUAUUUUUAGGAAUAAUUCUAGGUUGGGCCUUCAAUUUUACAUCAGUGAUUUUAUUUUGGAGUGAUUUGGAUUUUUUGUCUCUAGACCAGCACAAGUGGAUUAUUAUCAUUCAGUCUUUGAAAGGAGAAGAUACAGUUUCCAGUCACUAAUUUACAAUAUUGUUCUAUCAGUAUCUUCCAUGAGAGGUGAUUUAAUAAAUUUUUUCUCAAUGUGAAAAGAUCCAGGAGACCCUGUUGCA
This 1268-nucleotide long non-coding RNA is filed under the name Equus caballus (horse). Its description in RNAcentral is "lncRNA (ENSECAG00000029675.3)". Lineage: Eukaryota; Metazoa; Chordata; Mammalia; Perissodactyla; Equidae. The record is from RNAcentral.